Molecule: ribosomal RNA, 501 nt
Filed under: uncultured bacterium
Lineage: Bacteria
Description: partial 16S ribosomal RNA
Rfam family: Bacterial small subunit ribosomal RNA
Source: RNAcentral
AUUGAACGCUGGCGGCAGGCUUAACACAUGCAAGUCGAGCGGAGAUGAGGUGCUUGCACCUUAUCUUAGCGGCGGACGGGUGAGUAAUGCUUAGGAAUCUGCCUAUUAGUGGGGGACAACAUUCCGAAAGGAAUGCUAAUACCGCAUACGUCCUACGGGAGAAAGCAGGGGAUCUUCGGACCUUGCGCUAAUAGAUGAGCCUAAGUCGGAUUAGCUAGUUGGUGGGGUAAAGGCCUACCAAGGCGACGAUCUGUAGCGGGUCUGAGAGGAUGAUCCGCCACACUGGGACUGAGAAACGGCCCAGACUCCUACGGGAGGCAGCAGUGGGGAAUGUUGGACAAUGGGGGGAACCCUGAUCCAGCCAUGCCGCGUGUGUGAAGAAGGCCUUAUGGUUGUAAGGCACUUUAAGCGAGGAGGAGGCUACUGAGACUAAUACUCUUGGAUAGUGGACGUUACUCGCAGAAUAAGCACCGGCUAACUCUGUGCCAGCCGCCGCAGUAA